Molecule: ribosomal RNA, 377 nt
Filed under: uncultured bacterium
Lineage: Bacteria
Description: partial 16S ribosomal RNA
Rfam family: Bacterial small subunit ribosomal RNA
Source: RNAcentral
CCUACGGGAGGCAGCAGUGGGGGAUAUUGGACACUGGGGGAAACCCUGAUCCAGCGAUGCCGCGUGCGUGAAGAAGUAUUUCUGUAUGGUAAGCUCUAUCAGCAGGGAAGAAAGAAAUGACGGUACCUGAGUACGAAGCCUCGGCUAACUACGUGCCAGCAGCCGCGGUAAUACGUAGGGGGCAAGCGUUAUCCGGAUUUACUGGGUGUAAAGGGAGCGUAGGCGGUAAUGCAAGUCUGGGGUGAAAGGCGGGGGCCCAACCCCCGGACUGCUCUUGACACUGUGUAACUGGAGUGCAGGAGAGGCAGGCGGAAUGUCUAGUGUAGCGGUGAAAUGCGUAGAGAUUAGGAAGAACACCAGUGGCGAAGGCAGCCUGC